This 2923-nucleotide ribosomal RNA is filed under the name Staphylococcus aureus. Its description in RNAcentral is "23S ribosomal RNA". It matches the Rfam family "Bacterial large subunit ribosomal RNA". The record is from RNAcentral. Lineage: Bacteria; Bacillati; Bacillota; Bacilli; Caryophanales; Staphylococcaceae.
GAUUAAGUUAUUAAGGGCGCACGGUGGAUGCCUUGGCACUAGAAGCCGAUGAAGGACGUUACUAACGACGAUAUGCUUUGGGGAGCUGUAAGUAAGCUUUGAUCCAGAGAUUUCCGAAUGGGGAAACCUAGCAUGAGUUAUGUCAUGUUAUCGAUAUGUGAAUACAUAGCAUAUCAGAAGGCACACCCGGAGAACUGAAACAUCUUAGUACCCGGAGGAAGAGAAAGAAAAUUCGAUUCCCUUAGUAGCGGCGAGCGAAACGGGAAGAGCCCAAACCAACAAGCUUGCUUGUUGGGGUUGUAGGACACUCUAUACGGAGUUACAAAGGACGACAUUAGACGAAUCAUCUGGAAAGAUGAAUCAAAGAAGGUAAUAAUCCUGUAGUCGAAAAUGUUGUCUCUCUUGAGUGGAUCCUGAGUACGACGGAGCACGUGAAAUUCCGUCGGAAUCUGGGAGGACCAUCUCCUAAGGCUAAAUACUCUCUAGUGACCGAUAGUGAACCAGUACCGUGAGGGAAAGGUGAAAAGCACCCCGGAAGGGGAGUGAAAUAGAACCUGAAACCGUGUGCUUACAAGUAGUCAGAGCCCGUUAAUGGGUGAUGGCGUGCCUUUUGUAGAAUGAACCGGCGAGUUACGAUUUGAUGCAAGGUUAAGCAGUAAAUGUGGAGCCGUAGCGAAAGCGAGUCUGAAUAGGGCGUUUAGUAUUUGGUCGUAGACCCGAAACCAGGUGAUCUACCCUUGGUCAGGUUGAAGUUCAGGUAACACUGAAUGGAGGACCGAACCGACUUACGUUGAAAAGUGAGCGGAUGAACUGAGGGUAGCGGAGAAAUUCCAAUCGAACCUGGAGAUAGCUGGUUCUCUCCGAAAUAGCUUUAGGGCUAGCCUCAAGUGAUGAUUAUUGGAGGUAGAGCACUGUUUGGACGAGGGGCCCCUCUCGGGUUACCGAAUUCAGACAAACUCCGAAUGCCAAUUAAUUUAACUUGGGAGUCAGAACAUGGGUGAUAAGGUCCGUGUUCGAAAGGGAAACAGCCCAGACCACCAGCUAAGGUCCCAAAAUAUAUGUUAAGUGGAAAAGGAUGUGGCGUUGCCCAGACAACUAGGAUGUUGGCUUAGAAGCAGCCAUCAUUUAAAGAGUGCGUAAUAGCUCACUAGUCGAGUGACACUGCGCCGAAAAUGUACCGGGGCUAAACAUAUUACCGAAGCUGUGGAUUGUCCUUUGGACAAUGGUAGGAGAGCGUUCUAAGGGCGUUGAAGCAUGAUCGUAAGGACAUGUGGAGCGCUUAGAAGUGAGAAUGCCGGUGUGAGUAGCGAAAGACGGGUGAGAAUCCCGUCCACCGAUUGACUAAGGUUUCCAGAGGAAGGCUCGUCCGCUCUGGGUUAGUCGGGUCCUAAGCUGAGGCCGACAGGCGUAGGCGAUGGAUAACAGGUUGAUAUUCCUGUACCACCUAUAAUCGUUUUAAUCGAUGGGGGGACGCAGUAGGAUAGGCGAAGCGUGCGAUUGGAUUGCACGUCUAAGCAGUAAGGCUGAGUAUUAGGCAAAUCCGGUACUCGUUAAGGCUGAGCUGUGAUGGGGAGAAGACAUUGUGUCUUCGAGUCGUUGAUUUCACACUGCCGAGAAAAGCCUCUAGAUAGAAAAUAGGUGCCCGUACCGCAAACCGACACAGGUAGUCAAGAUGAGAAUUCUAAGGUGAGCGAGCGAACUCUCGUUAAGGAACUCGGCAAAAUGACCCCGUAACUUCGGGAGAAGGGGUGCUCUUUAGGGUUAACGCCCAGAAGAGCCGCAGUGAAUAGGCCCAAGCGACUGUUUAUCAAAAACACAGGUCUCUGCUAAACCGUAAGGUGAUGUAUAGGGGCUGACGCCUGCCCGGUGCUGGAAGGUUAAGAGGAGUGGUUAGCUUCUGCGAAGCUACGAAUCGAAGCCCCAGUAAACGGCGGCCGUAACUAUAACGGUCCUAAGGUAGCGAAAUUCCUUGUCGGGUAAGUUCCGACCCGCACGAAAGGCGUAACGAUUUGGGCACUGUCUCAACGAGAGACUCGGUGAAAUCAUAGUACCUGUGAAGAUGCAGGUUACCCGCGACAGGACGGAAAGACCCCGUGGAGCUUUACUGUAGCCUGAUAUUGAAAUUCGGCACAGCUUGUACAGGAUAGGUAGGAGCCUUUGAAACGUGAGCGCUAGCUUACGUGGAGGCGCUGGUGGGAUACUACCCUAGCUGUGUUGGCUUUCUAACCCGCACCACUUAUCGUGGUGGGAGACAGUGUCAGGCGGGCAGUUUGACUGGGGCGGUCGCCUCCUAAAAGGUAACGGAGGCGCUCAAAGGUUCCCUCAGAAUGGUUGGAAAUCAUUCAUAGAGUGUAAAGGCAUAAGGGAGCUUGACUGCGAGACCUACAAGUCGAGCAGGGUCGAAAGACGGACUUAGUGAUCCGGUGGUUCCGCAUGGAAGGGCCAUCGCUCAACGGAUAAAAGCUACCCCGGGGAUAACAGGCUUAUCUCCCCCAAGAGUUCACAUCGACGGGGAGGUUUGGCACCUCGAUGUCGGCUCAUCGCAUCCUGGGGCUGUAGUCGGUCCCAAGGGUUGGGCUGUUCGCCCAUUAAAGCGGUACGCGAGCUGGGUUCAGAACGUCGUGAGACAGUUCGGUCCCUAUCCGUCGUGGGCGUAGGAAAUUUGAGAGGAGCUGUCCUUAGUACGAGAGGACCGGGAUGGACAUACCUCUGGUGUACCAGUUGUCGUGCCAACGGCAUAGCUGGGUAGCUAUGUGUGGACGGGAUAAGUGCUGAAAGCAUCUAAGCAUGAAGCCCCCCUCAAGAUGAGAUUUCCCAACUUCGGUUAUAAGAUCCCUCAAAGAUGAUGAGGUUAAUAGGUUCGAGGUGGAAGCAUGGUGACAUGUGGAGCUGACGAAUACUAAUCGAUCGAAGACUUAAUCAA